CGAGUGGCGAACGGGUGAGUAACGCGUGAGGAACCUGCCUCAAAGAGGGGGACAACAGUUGGAAACGACUGCUAAUACCGCAUAAGACCACGGUACCGCAUGGUACAGUGGUAAAAACUCCGGUGGUAUGAGAUGGACCCGCGUCUGAUUAGGUAGUUGGUGGGGUAACGGCCUACCAAGCCGACGAUCAGUAGCCGACCUGAGAGGGUGACCGGCCACAUUGGGACUGAGACACGGCCCAA
This 242-nucleotide ribosomal RNA is filed under the name uncultured bacterium. Its description in RNAcentral is "partial 16S ribosomal RNA". It matches the Rfam family "Bacterial small subunit ribosomal RNA", at positions 92 to 334 of the family's 1533-position model. The record is from RNAcentral.